AUGUUUCCCACUAUCCUCUUAAUGGGAAUUAAUGGAAUUCUUAAUGGGAAUUCCUCUUAUAUGGGAAUUAUUAUGGCAGCCUUAAUGAAAAUGUCAACAAGGUUUUUGCAUAACAUCUACAUCUCCAUGUUUUCUUUCUCUUUUUGCUUCCUGGUGAGCAGGAGCAGGCAGAAAUGAAGGAAGGAAAGAAGAUGAAAAUACACCAAAGAAAGAAGUGUCUUAACACAUUCCCCCCAAAGAACAGGUAGCAUUCCCUCAAUUAGUCCAGGCAGACUUCAUCUACUCGAUGGUAGGUCCAAAUUCAGGUCCUGGUUUGUGUGGGAUACUGCAGAAUGUUCUACAUUUUUGUAAUUGAUGUAAUUUUCUUUGGGUUGGGGUGAGUUAAUUAAACAUUACUGCAACAUUUACUGGUGUCUCUUUGGUUUCUGAAAACACUUAAUUCUGUGCUCCUGUCUGUUGAUCUCCUGCCAAAACUCUCUUGCCUUCUGCAUGCUUCCUGUUGCUGAGUUUCUUUUGGGGCUACUUUCAGUAACCUGGAGUGAUUCUGUCAGCAUGUUGCUCGUCAUGCUUACACUACAGAAGAAAAAACUGUCACAGUUCAAGAGAAUGCUCUUCAAUGCCACUGGAAAGGC
RNAcentral lists this long non-coding RNA (632 nucleotides) under Coturnix japonica (Japanese quail). Its description in RNAcentral is "lncRNA (ENSCJPG00005008657.1)". The record is from RNAcentral. Lineage: Eukaryota; Metazoa; Chordata; Aves; Galliformes; Phasianidae.